Molecule: long non-coding RNA, 5262 nt
Organism: Musa acuminata AAA Group (dessert banana)
Lineage: Eukaryota; Viridiplantae; Streptophyta; Magnoliopsida; Zingiberales; Musaceae
Exons: 6
Source: RefSeq, a predicted model, not a curated record
UCGAGAUUCGUAAGAGAGAAGGGAGCCGAAGAAGAGGCGACGAAUUCCGCGACCGUGUCGCUGCCGGGUGUCGCCGUCCGAGACCCGGAGACGAUGGAGUACAACAAGUCCUCGAUCAGGAGUGCCGCUCCCAGUAUACUCCAGCCGAGAGAUUCCAUCGUUUUCCUUCUCUUCUCCAUUUUGCUAUUCGAAAUAUUUUAGGUUUCAAAUGUUUGAUCUUGUGCUAGGUGAUUGCCGAUUUUGAUGGCAGGCACGCUCGCGACGUACUGGAUUUAUGGCCGCGGUGGUCAUAGUAGAUUACAUUUAAUUUCUUCCUCUCUUUUAUUCAGGGGAAAUGACGUUGGUUUCGGUUAGAUUCUUGGUUUGUUGUGGUUGGGUAGCCAUGGAUUGCUAUAGCAGGGGAAUGCUGCAGGAGGAAAAAACUAAGCUGAUGAAAGAAUGGAACGUAAAUAUACUUGCUUCAGAACAGUCCUGGUUUGGUUGCCGGUCCAUCUUUACGACACAGUUUUGUCCUAGGUCUAGAAAUUAUUGAACUGAUUUUUUUGUUUUCAUCUGUUGGCUAUUUUAGUUGUCCCAGAAUUGCUCGCCCCUACAAUUUUGGCCUGGAUUGAUCCUUUCCCUUUCCUACGCCAACAUUUCUUGGCUAUAAACACAUUUGUCAGCAGCAAAUACCCUUAGACAUCAUACUAUUAGAUGUCAUGUAACGUAAAAAGCAUGUAUUGGAUCUUCAUAUCCUGGCUACAAAUCUCUCAAGGUGCUGGGUUGUGUUAUGUUUGACCUGUUUACUAAAUUGAUCAGGUUUACAAUACCCAAGUCCUACAUUGAGCUGGAAUUGGAUUUAUAAAGCAUCGUAAGUACUUUUUAGGAGGCUUAGCUGACAUGGUUUUGGGCUUGGAUCCAACAAUAUGGUAUAGAGAUAAUCACAUAUUUUACAUUACAUGGCAUCCAAUUACUAUUGUGCUUAAAAUAUAUUCAUCAAGGAGGAGGAUCUUUAAUUUGUAGGAAUCUUGUCGAGGGCAGUUUCGAUGCUUGUCAACCCAUUCAAUAAUUUUUUGCACUAUCUACAGGUGGUAUUAGUUUGGAUUCUCACUUAUUACAAUUUGGUCAUUUAUAUCAACUUACCACUAUUUUUUUCAGGUAGUAGAAUAUUAAAAAUAUAUUGUUCUUUUAUUGACCUUAUAUGUAUUAAUAUGUGGCUACACCUACUUACAUGUUCCAAUGUGAAUGUCUAUCUUUAUGUAAUAGAUGUCUUCAGUGGAGUAGGUUAAUUAAAUAUGUUGAUUUAGAGGAGCCAUUACAGCAGACCUUUAUUACCAGCCAUUUCUCUGUACUCUGUGGUUAUUUUAAGACAACAAAACUCAUGAAAUAGAUGGAUUAAGUACAACUUAUUUUCUUUAUCCCACAUCUGAUCUUAAAUCUGUCUCCUGUAUAAUGUUGAUUAUAAAGAAGAUAGACAGGAUAUAAUCUUAUGGAUUAAAUUUGUCAAGUGGCCACACAUAAGAAUCUCAUAUGGUUGAGAUUGUCCCAAAAUUAUAUAGAUUCUGUGAGGUUCACUCGGUUUGUCCAGUUGAGGAGUAUGUGAGCUGGACACUAGUAAUAUAGAAUAAAUCAUGCUUGGAACUUUUUAAGAUAUGGUACAACUAGAUUACUUUUUGUAUUUUCUUUUAGGAUAUGAUAGGAUUAUAUUACCUUAUAUCAUAAUGUUCUUCCAAAAGAAAGAGAAAACAUUUGUUAUGUGAAUUCUGAUAGCCAUUCAAAGCAAUCUGAUAUCGUUUGUUGGAUGUUGCAUGCUGAUUUUAAAUUGUCUAAAAUAUUUGACCAUUGAUGAGAAUGUCUGAUAAGACAUGCGGAACGGUGACUUUUCAGAAAUUAUUCUGGAGGAAGGACGAAACUUUUUUAUCAUGCUCAAUGACAAAUCUGUUAUGUUAACUUGCUGUCCUAAAUAGGCUCUUGGAAUGAUCUUAGACCAUAUGAAUGUAAAAUAAUAACCCAGUUAUGUUGAUUGUUUAGUUCAAUUCUGUAUGUUCGAUUGUGCAGGCUCACUACUUGUGCACAUUUUUAUUUGAAGUUAUAUAACUAAAUCAUAUAUUAAUUUAUAAUGAUAUUAAAUCUUUGUACUAUUUGAUCUUUAUUAAUGGUUAAAACAAUUUAAUGGCUGCUUGAAUUUUUAACUUCUAGUUGUAAAUGUUUUAGCAUUAUGACAUAGUUGCUGAGUUGGUGUUUUCUUUUUCACCUAUCCUGAGACUAUUAACCUUGUAAUUUGUUUCUUGUACUUGUUGAAACUCGUGUAGUAGUAAAUCAAAUAAUAGAUUGCAAUUGUAUCAGUUUGGAUAGCCUGUAAAGAUCAGAACUUCUGUAGAUAGAUGAGCCAACUUGAUGUUUGUCCAUUGGUCCUACCCUGACUGAUCCAUGGACUUGGCCAUAAGACGAGCCAUGUUCUGCAUGGUUCAUAACUUCUAUAUGAGGCACUAUGGUUAAGAAGGUCUCCUGGAGAGGUCUCUAAAGGAUUUUUCCUCUGAGUUCCUUUAUUUCUUUGGUAGUUUGAUAUCAUGUUAUCUUGGGCUGUCUAGUUUGACAAACAGAUAUUAGCAUUAGGCCACGUCAAGGACUUUCAUUCUCCAAGACUUGAAGACCAUGUAUGAUAGAUCAUGGUCUUCUCAUUAAAAAAAAUUAUACUCUGAUGAUUGCUUAUAUUAUGUUAAAGAAAUUUAAUUACUGUAAAACUAAUAUAUUUACCACAGUUGAAACCGCCACAGAUUUGAGAUUAUGGGAUAAAUUUAUCUAUCCUCUGAGCCAUAGUCUAGGCAACUACAUCUCUGAAACUUUCAAAUCUUUGUAAAUCAACUAGUGUUGAUUAAUAUAGAAAUUUUCUCCUUAUAAGUCCUGAAUUAUGAGAACCUCGUUUUUCCAUACUAAGGUUUUAGAAGUCAGAAAAUUCCCUGAUUUGUUCGGCAGUUGCCAUCACUGAAGAGGUUGAAAAAAUUAGCCGCCUUCUGAUUUUGUUUUGUCCUACACAUGGCCCUUAUUGGGACAAAGUAAGCCCUAAUCACGGACAGUGCACCCAGAUUCCUUUGUUGAGACUGCCUUCCAUUUAUCCUGUUUAUUUUAAGGAAAAUGGGGAUCACUGCCCAACCACUGCCGUCAUCCUCCCUUAACCCAGAAGAAAGGAGAAGAUAGAGGAGAGAAAAACGAGAUCAUGAGGAAAGGCUGGAAGUGGAAAAGGAACUGAAAGGAGAGAUGAUAGAAAAGAUUCCAUAAUUAUUAUCUGCAAGGUAAAUUUAUGAUUAACUAGGGAAAAGUUGUCCAUUUCUAACUGGUUGGUAAAAAUUGACCUCCAUCAUUUUCUGGGACCUGCUUCUUAGUCCACAGUCCAAAAGUACUCAGACUUGUGUUGGGUGUUUAUUAGACUAGCUAAAUUAAUAGAACUUUUUUUUGCAUCAUGCAGGAAAGAAGUGUGCCUGUUCUUGUCCUUUCUGCUGGUAUUGCAGACAUCAUUAAAGAGGUUUUCAGGAAGAAACUUCAUAGAUCUUUUGAGAAUAUUAGGGUUGUUUCUAACAGAAUGGUGUUUUACGAAAAGGGUCAUCUUGUUGCUGAUAAAGUGAUCACAUGGAAGAAUGAGCCUCCUUCAGAUAUGGCUGCUCCUAUUCAUAACAGAUUCGAAGCUCCUAAUCGUCUAACCAUGGUAAUGUUGUGGUGAAGAAAAGAACUAAUGUGAUACUUCUCGGAGAUCAUAUCACAGACCUGGUCACGGUAGCUGUUCGAUUUCUCAUAGGUUGAAGUUGUCUUCUAUGGGACUGAGGCAUGGUUGAAGAAGACAUGAAUCCAUGGCCAUGCUUGCAACAAUGGGAGACCCACGAGGUCAGGAGAACAAUGAGGUUGAAGAGAGUGUCGAUGGAGCUGAUGGUGUCAAAUAUGUGUUGAACAAGGAACAAGAAGCACAGGUUUUUUUUUCCCAUUCAUGCAUGCAAUUACAUAGGACAAGGCUUCAUGGAAUGUGUAGUGAGUGUUAUUGUUCGUUCACAUGCCACAAUCUGUAGUUAACAAAAGACUGCAUUUUUAUAUUCUGAUACUGCUGUUUCAUUUAGCUUCUAGCGCUCAACUCUUGUGCAAGUAAGUGUUGAGUUGGACCAGACAUAUAUGGUGCAUUAGAGUGCAGGAAGUCGAUGAAUCCAAACUUUGAGGUCCCCAGAUAUCUCAGCUUGAUCCAAGAGGAUCAGAGGUCCCGUCCCUUCUUCCUGCCUGCCGCUGGCCCUUUGCAAAACCCUAAAGCCCUGACAAAGUUCUCAUCGAGGUUUGCCCCCACACAUAGAUGCGGAGUGAAUCCUGUGGACAACCAACAUUAUUUACCUCUCUUCCACCGCCCUUCACUCUUACCUUUCGUGCCAUGUGCACCUUUCUGCCGCCCGUGUUGCUGGUGGUGGCAGCUCUUGCACUCGAAAUGCAAACAAAGCAGCAAGAGAGAUGGUGACAGUGCAACUUUAAGGACGAAGAGUCGUGUGAUUUCAAAAGGUACACUUCUCUCUCUCUCUCUCUCUCUCUCUCUGAGGGCCACAAGUUCAUCUGCCAAUCUGCCAAUCUUAUCGAGAGAUCGUGAAAAGUUCAUAGCUUUACUGACUGUACAAAUCAUGGACGUUAAAUCUCUUGCUCAAGCACAUGCCUAGUUAGCAAGCAUACUGCAUCCCUUUCAGCGUGCUCCCAGUCCAUCCAUCCAUUCGAGCACUUGCCAUUUGCACGAUUGUGUCCUCAAGUUCGAUCAAACAUCACUUGUCUAUGGUGGUGUGUGGCUUCGUGACCGUGUCAGUGAGGAGGGUGAGGUUGAUCCAUGAAUUGAUGUCUCAGGAUUUGGACAAAUGCAGUGCAGGCACCACAGUAUUGGCCUCUUCCAACCCUUUCAAUGGUCAUCGGCAACCUUACCCGAUGGAAAGAGACACAGCUUCCGCCCUCUAUCUUCCCUGUCUUUUUUGUCUUGAUACCAAGCAGUCCGUGGAGAGGAAGCAACAGGCGUACAGACAGCAUACAUGCAUGUAUGUGUUUGCACCUACGUGCGGAGCAUGCAUGCACCCGAUCGAUGAGCAAUUUGGCUACAUCUAUGUUUUGAGAUCAGAUCGAUUAUGCUUCAUCGGCUCGACUAAUUAGGUCAACCACAUCCAUGAAUAUUGUUCAUGUUGUUUUCUUUACAUAAAAUGAAGGAAGAAGAAGAAAAAAAUAACUUUGACGAUGAUGGUGGUGAUUGAGAUUCAAUGGUGGUUCCAAUCAACCAUU